CCUACGGGGGGCAGCAGUGGGGAAUAUUGGGCAAUGGGCGCAAGCCUGACCCAGCAACGCCGCGUGAAGGAAGAAGGCUUUCGGGUUGUAAACUUCUUUUGACAGGGAAGAGUAGAAGACGGUACCUGUCGAAUAAGCCACGGCUAACUACGUGCCAGCAGCCGCGGUAAUACGUAGGUGGCAAGCGUUGUCCGGAUUUACUGGGUGGAAAGGGCGUGUAGCCGGGUUGGCAAGUCAGAUGUGAAAUCCUGCGGCUUAACCGCAGAACUGCAUUUGAAACUGUUGUUCUUGAGUGCUGGAGAGGCAGACGGAAUUCCUAGUGUAGCGGUGAAAUGCGUAGAUAUUAGGAGGAACACCAGUGGCGAAGGCGGUCUGCUGGACAGCAACUGACGGUGAGGCGCGAAAGCGUGGGGAGCAAACAGGAUUAGAUACCCUUGUAGUC
This 442-nucleotide ribosomal RNA is filed under the name uncultured bacterium. Its description in RNAcentral is "partial 16S ribosomal RNA". It matches the Rfam family "Bacterial small subunit ribosomal RNA", at positions 338 to 795 of the family's 1533-position model. The record is from RNAcentral.